RNAcentral lists this unclassified non-coding RNA (400 nucleotides) under uncultured Chytridiomycota. Its description in RNAcentral is "sequence contains ITS1". The stretch from base 1 to 105 matches the Rfam family "5.8S ribosomal RNA", at positions 50 to 154 of the family's 154-position model. The record is from RNAcentral. Lineage: Eukaryota; Fungi; Chytridiomycota.
GAAUUGCGAUAAGUAAUGUGAAUUGCAGAAUUCAGUGAAUCAUCAAAUCUUUGAACGCACAUUGCGCUCCUUGGUAUUCCGGGGAGCAUGCCUGUUUGAGAAUCAAUAAAUCUCUCACCAUCUGGUCUGCUUGAUUAAUUUCUCGCAGGUCAGGAGGUGGAUUUGAGUCCUUUGCGUUCCCUCGGGAAUACAAUGACUUUAAAUUCAAUGUCUGCAGCUUUCUUCUGACGGGGAAUGGCUUUGAGUGCAUGAACUGUUUUUAUUAACUUAGAUUUCACUCUCGUAAGCUUUUAUUCCUAAUGUCUGGAAGAUGUGCUGUUGGAUCCAACCAUUACAUCUUUGUAAGGUCGAUGUGAGUCGACACUGCAUUGAAUACUUGGUCUCAAAUCAGGUAGGAAAA